Papaver somniferum (opium poppy) is the source of this 450-nucleotide long non-coding RNA. RefSeq lists it as uncharacterized. Lineage: Eukaryota; Viridiplantae; Streptophyta; Magnoliopsida; Ranunculales; Papaveraceae. The record is from RefSeq and is a predicted model, not a curated record. The transcript is spliced from 2 exons.
GGGGGCAAAUACAUCACCUUUCCUGUUUUCCUUUCCAGAAUCGAAAUCUUUUCUUUCUUCAUCUUCAUCACUAUAGAUAGAUUUCUCACUCUAUAUUCGGGUAAUCUAUACUCAGUUUGAAUCUGGAGUACAGGGUUUUGAUUUGAUUGAAUAUUCAAUCAUCAUCUAGCCUGUAACCCCAAAUUCGAUAAUUGGGUAUUGAUUUGGUAGAAACGUCAAACCCUCCCUUAAUUUAAUUGAUUUGAGUUGCAAGGGAAUUAGGGUUUGUGGGGUUUUGAUGCGAUGCCAUUUUUUUUUCUCUAACCUUAGGAAGAAAAAUUUGAGGCUUGCCAGGUGGAUACAUUUCCGGUAAAGAAGAAAGACAUUAUGAAGUUCAUUGGAGAGCGUAGGUUCAUAGAUUGGGUUAAGCUCAAUUAUAACCACAGGACUACAGUUAUCGAUAAAUUGAGG